RNAcentral lists this ribosomal RNA (239 nucleotides) under uncultured Flavobacterium sp. Its description in RNAcentral is "partial 16S ribosomal RNA". It matches the Rfam family "Bacterial small subunit ribosomal RNA", at positions 1 to 247 of the family's 1533-position model. Lineage: Bacteria; Pseudomonadati; Bacteroidota; Flavobacteriia; Flavobacteriales; Flavobacteriaceae. The record is from RNAcentral.
CAUGGAGUUUGAUCCUGGCUCAGGAUGAACGCUAGCGGCAGGCUUAACACAUGCAAGUCGAGGGGUAUAGUUCUUCGGAGCUAGAGACCGGCGCACGGGUGCGUAACGCGUAUGCAAUCUACCUUAUACAGGGGAAUAGCCCAGAGAAAUUUGGAUUAAUACCUCAUAGUAUGUGAGAAUCGCAUGGUUUUCACAUUAAAGUCACAACGGUAAAAGAUGAGCAUGCGUCCCAUUAGCUU